UUUUUUUUUUUUUUUUUUUUUUUUUUUUUUUUAA
Molecule: non-coding RNA, 34 nt
Filed under: Alexandrium minutum
Lineage: Eukaryota; Dinophyceae; Gonyaulacales; Pyrocystaceae
Source: RNAcentral